RNAcentral lists this ribosomal RNA (462 nucleotides) under uncultured bacterium. Its description in RNAcentral is "bacterial SSU rRNA". It matches the Rfam family "Bacterial small subunit ribosomal RNA", at positions 28 to 490 of the family's 1533-position model. The record is from RNAcentral.
GACGAACGCUGGCGGCGUGCUUAACACAUGCAAGUCGAACGAGAGUUAGAUCGAAUGAGUUUUCGGACAAGUGAGAUUUAACGAAAGUGGCGAACGGGUGAGUAGCACGUGAGCAACCUGCCUUACACAGGGGGAUAGCCAUUGGAAACGGUGAUUAAUACCCCAUAAGACCACAAUACCGCAUGGUAAAAGGGUAAAAGGGAUACCGGUGUAAGAUGGGCUCGCGUCUGAUUAGCUAGUUGGUGGGGUAAAGGCCUACCAAGGCGACGAUCAGUAGCCGGUCUGAGAGGAUGAACGGCCACAUUGGAACUGAGACACGGUCCAAACUCCUACGGGAGGCAGCAGUGGGGAAUAUUGCACAAUGGGGGAAACCCUGAUGCAGCGACGCCGCGUGAGCGAAGAAGGCUUUCGAGUCGUAAAGCUCUGUCCUAUGAGAAGAUAAUGACGGUAUCAUAGGAGAAG